CUCAAACAUGCCUUCACGUCUCCCCUUUCUUCUCCUGCUCGUCGUCAUUCUGCUGGAAAGUCUCUUUGGACAUGCUGAAUCUCAAGGAAAGCUGCAGAAACCAGACAUUUCUGUGGAUAGAUCUGUGCAGAACAGUAGGGUGAUUAACAUUGCCUGUGACACAAAGCUGGAAAACCCCAUAACUAGCACUAAUAUCAGCUGUAACCUGUACAUUGGAGACUCAUCUGAGCCAUUCAGAAGCACAUGGACCACAAGUAAAACUGUUCACUGAAGUGAAUAUCAGUGACAUGCAGGAGAGCAGGGAGGUGAACUGUGAUUACAGUGUGAAUACAGACCCUUGUUCUCCUUCUCCACGCAGUGACAGAUCCCUUGUAGUAGAUAAGUCACUUUAUAAAUCUCAAGCAUACUGGUACAAAAUAAAGAUGAGGGCUGCCAGUCUGCCCUAGCACUGUUCAAUUUAUUUAUUGAUUUAUUUGUUUGUUCAUGUUUGUUUAGCCACAGCAUUGCACCCUGUACAGAAAUUGUUGUGUAAGAUAUCAUGAGCUUGCAAAGUAUCAUGUUUCCAGACCAAACUAACAAUUGCCCCUCACACUCACAUUAACUUGAUCUUCAAGUGGGUGUACCUGUCACAAGCACCACAAUGUGUCAAUUCCCUGUGCUUCACACCCAGCCAAUGACACACUGCUACAGCGCCAUCUGUAGGCAGAUCCAUUUAGUGAAGCAAUUGUCGUCGCUGUGAACAUGCAAGACAAGUAUAUUUAACCUACCACGCACAUAUAGUUCAUUAUACAGUUCAUAUUUUGACUAAUAUCAAUUUAAGUUAUGUAAUCUUUCAUGCAUUCUCUCUUUAUAUCAGGUUUUACUGUACAUAAUUUGCCAAAAUAUAAUUACAUUGCUUUGAUCAGCUGAAAACAU
Long non-coding RNA from Anguilla anguilla (European eel), 915 nucleotides. RefSeq lists it as uncharacterized. The record is from RefSeq and is a predicted model, not a curated record. The transcript is spliced from 3 exons. NCBI's taxonomy places the organism in Eukaryota, Metazoa, Chordata, Actinopteri, Anguilliformes, Anguillidae.